CACGAACCGUACGAACGUUAUUCGGAAUCACUGGGCUUAAAGGGUGCGUAGGCGGUCCGGUAAGUUGGGUGUGAAAUCCCUCGGCUCAACCGAGGAAUUGCGCUCAAGACUGCCGGGCUAGAGGGAGUCAGAGGUGAGUGGAACUUAGGGUGGAGCGGUGAAAUGCGUUGAUAUCCUAAGGAACACCAGUGGCGAAAGCGACUCACUGGGGCUCUUCUGACGCUGAGGCACGAAAGCUAGGGGAG
RNAcentral lists this ribosomal RNA (245 nucleotides) under uncultured bacterium. Its description in RNAcentral is "partial 16S ribosomal RNA". It matches the Rfam family "Bacterial small subunit ribosomal RNA", at positions 524 to 768 of the family's 1533-position model. The record is from RNAcentral.